AUACGGAGGAUCCGAGCGUUAUCCGGAUUUAUUGGGUUUAAAGGGUGCGCAGGCGGGAGAUUAAGUCGGCGGUGAAAUUUUGCAGCUCAACUGUAAAAGUGCCUUCGAUACUGGUUUCCUUGAGUGGGGAUGAAGUAGGCGGAAUUUGUGGUGUAGCGGUGAAAUGCUUAGAUAUCACGAGGAACUCCGAUUGCGCAGGCAGCUUACUAAACCACUACUGACGCUCAGGCACGAAGGCGUGGGGAUCAAACAGGAUUAGAUACCCUGGUAGUCCACGCAGUAAACGAUGAUUACUGGCUGUUUGCGAUACAAUGUAAGCGGCUGAGCGAAAGCGUUAAGUAAUCCACCUGGGGAGUACGUUCGCAAGAAUGAAACUCAAAUGAAUUGGCGGGG
Molecule: ribosomal RNA, 393 nt
Filed under: uncultured bacterium
Lineage: Bacteria
Description: partial 16S ribosomal RNA
Rfam family: Bacterial small subunit ribosomal RNA
Source: RNAcentral